UUGAUAAAAAUAGUUAUAAUUUUUUUAAAAAAGAAAUAUAAAAAUAAUAGUAGUGUUAACGAAAAAUAAAAUUAACUAUAGAGUAUAAGUACUGUGAAGGAAAUAUUGAAAUAAUUGAAAAAUUUUCAUAAAAAUAGUACUUUUAAAUAAAGGUACCUUUUGUAUUAGUGAUUAUUAAAAUUUUUAUAUAAAUUUUAUUCUCGAAAAUAAAAGAUCUAAAAAAUUUUGAAAGUUUUUGUGUCAAAAAAAUUUUUAAAGGUUUUUUAGGUGUGAAAUUCUAAUCGCUUUUAUUAAUAUCUAGUAACUUUAGAAAUAAAUUUAGUUUAGAAUGGUUCAGGAAUACUUUAGUUGAAAGAAAUUCUUUAUCCAUUUUUAGAUUUUAGGGGAUGAGCUCUAAAAUCAAAUUAUAAGAAUAAUUUUCUUUAAAUUUUUUAUAGGCUUAGAAUUAGCCAUAAGAUAGUGUUAUAAAAUAAAAUUUUAAGUUUAAGAUUUAAAUAAUUCUUUUAGAUUUAUAAAGUUAAUUUAAAAAUAGAAUUUUAAAUGAAAAUAUGAUAAUAUUAGUAGAUAAAUAAAGUUAAGAUUUUAUAUUAAAAAUUUCAGAAUUUUUUAUGUAAAAAAUACUAACAAAAGAACUCGGCAAAACAAAUUUCCGAAUGUUUAACAAAAACAUUUCCUUCUAGUUUAGAAGGUAAGGCCUGCUCACUGAAUUUUAAAGAGCCGCAGUAUCCUAACUGUGCUAAGGUAGCAUAAUCAUUAGUCUUUUAAUUGGAGACUGGUAUGAAUGGCUUAACGAGAAAUUGACUUUUUUUGUUAUUUAAAUUGAAUUUAAUUUUUUAGUGAAAAAGCUAAAAUAUUUCAGAAAGACGAGAAGACCCUAUAGAGUUUUAUAUUUAAAGUUAUUUCUUUUUAAUAGAUUUUACAAGAAAAAAUAAUUUAAGAUAUUUUGUUGGGGCGACAUUAAGAUAUAAAAAACUCUUUAUUUUAAAAAUUUUAAUAUAAAUAUAAUUUGAUCCUCUAAAAGAGAUCAAAAGAAAAAAUUACCUUAGGGAUAACAGCGUAAUCUUUUUUGAGAGUUCUAAUCGACAAAAAGGUUUGCGACCUCGAUGUUGGACUAAAAUUUAGGCAGGGUGCAGCAGUUCUGCUUUAAGGUCUGUUCGACCUAUAAUAUUUUACACGAUCUGAGUUCAGACCGGCGUAAGCCAGGUUGGUUUCUAUCUUCUGAUUUUAUUAUUUCAACUUAGUACGAAAGGAUUGGUUGAUUAUAAUUUUUAUAAUAUUUUGAGGUUUAUUAAUUUUUCUUAU
Molecule: ribosomal RNA, 1302 nt
Filed under: Amphibalanus improvisus
Lineage: Eukaryota; Metazoa; Arthropoda; Thecostraca; Balanomorpha; Balanidae
Description: 16S ribosomal RNA
Rfam family: Bacterial large subunit ribosomal RNA (bases 857-1221)
Source: RNAcentral